AUUGAACGCUGGCGGCAUGCUUUACACAUGCAAGUCGAACGGUAACAGGCCUUCGGGUGCUGACGAGUGGCGAACGGGUGAGUAAUGCAUCGGAACGUACCCAGAGGUGGGGGAUAACGCAGCGAAAGCUGUGCUAAUACCGCAUGUGAUCUGAGGAUGAAAGCGGGGGACCGAGCAGCAAUGUUUGGCCUCGCGCCUUUGGAGCGGCCGAUGUCGGAUUAGCUAGUUGGUGGGGUAAAGGCCUACCAAGGCGACGAUCCGUAGCUGGUCUGAGAGGACGACCAGCCACACUGGGACUGAGACACGGCCCAGCCUCCUACGGGAGGCAGCAGUGGGGAAUUUUGGACAAUGGGCGCAAGCCUGAUCCAGCAAUGCCGCGUGCGGGAAGAAGGCCUUCGGGUUGUAAACCGCUUUUGGCAGGAACGAAACGGUGUCCGCUAAUACCGGGCGCUAAUGACGGUACCUGCAGAAUAAGCACCGGCUAACUACGUG
Molecule: ribosomal RNA, 492 nt
Filed under: uncultured bacterium
Lineage: Bacteria
Description: partial 16S ribosomal RNA
Rfam family: Bacterial small subunit ribosomal RNA
Source: RNAcentral